ACCACAUCAUAUGUAAGGCCCCAUUUUUUCUGAGGCCCCAUUUUUCCUGCCUCAGAGGUUAGUGGGCUGCCUCUAAGUGGGCCUAAGGGUUAGCCCAAUGUAUAUAAGCUCUGCUAUGUUGCCCUAAUCCCACCUCACAUUCACUCUUUCAGAAACCAGCCGCCAUCCCUCACUACCUCUCACGAAAAGCUCUGCUAGGGUUUACCCUAAGGUCCCCCUCCUUCAAGCUCAAACUCAGUCCUACUCACCUGCUGACCACCCUAAGGACAGUUUGGUCUCCUGUGUGCGUGCCGGAGCGUUCCGCUAACUUGAUUUCCAGAUGGGCGAGGCUCUCGUGGUCAACCAGGGAAUGACGACUCCGCUACUUAGCCAUCUGGGCUAGAUCUCGAACGUCUUUCUUUCAUGUUUCUUUAGGGCUAUGGCCCCUGUAUUCGUGGUUAUUAGAUUGUAAACUUUUAGUUAAACAGCUAUCCUGCUUUUGUUGGCAUCGUGGUGUGCCUAGCUAGUUUUGUAGGGGUGAGGUUGAGAACCCCAGGACUACGCUGCUAUACUUUAUCGCGUGACGUUCUUUUAAUUUCGUUUAAUAAUUAAAUGGGACGUUACA
This is a long non-coding RNA of Vigna unguiculata (cowpea), 604 nucleotides long. RefSeq lists it as uncharacterized. Lineage: Eukaryota; Viridiplantae; Streptophyta; Magnoliopsida; Fabales; Fabaceae. The record is from RefSeq and is a predicted model, not a curated record.